This 236-nucleotide non-coding RNA is filed under the name Secundilactobacillus silagei. RNAcentral's name for it is "Lactobacillus silagei T-box sequence". It matches the Rfam family "T-box leader". From Rfam's summary of the family: Uncharged tRNA acts as the effector for transcription antitermination of genes in the T-box leader family. T-boxes are found upstream of many aminoacyl-tRNA synthetase genes and some amino acid biosynthetic genes usually in Gram-positive bacteria. Lineage: Bacteria; Bacillati; Bacillota; Bacilli; Lactobacillales; Lactobacillaceae. The record is from RNAcentral.
ACAAAUGCGAUGAUUAGGAAAGUAACUGCCGGUAAACUUUAAGUGAGCCCCGUUAAGUGAAAAGGGGUAAGCAAGCCAGCGGUGAAAAUCACCUAUGAGCAGUGAAUACGAUGAUUGAGUGUUCACGGUGUGUCCGCCUUACUGGACUAGCGUAUCGUCCCGGGACCGUACGCGAAAAGGCGGUUUCUGUGAGGAAACCGCAAAUUAAGGUGGUACAGCGCACAAGCGCCCUUGAU